ACAGAGAAGGUCUUGUGGGGGAUGUCAAGGCUGGAGGCCGCCUGGGGCAAAGGGAUCGUGAGAUGCUAGAUUUCUCAAUCCUUGUUGAACCACGGAGGGGAGUCAGCAGAACUGCCACCUUGGACUUCCAGAGAGCAAACUCGAACCUCUUUAGGACCAUGGUUGAGAGGGUCCCUUGGGAAGUACUUUUGGAGGGCGUGGGAGCCCAGGAAGGCUGGCAAUACUUUCCAGAAGUAAUUUUAAAGGUGCAGGAGCUGACCAUCCCCAGGUCAUGGAAGAUGAGCUGAUGGGCAAGGAGGCUGGACUGGCUGAACAGAGACCUUCCACUGGAACUCAAGAGCAAAAUGAAAGAUUAUGGUCUGUGGAAGAGUGGGCAAGCUACUUAUGAUGAUUACAGAGAGAAUCCCUCGAGGAGCGCUGACGGUGCCUCUGACACCCGACGCCAUUUUCCCUGAAGCGACUGUGCCGCCACCGGACCCCGCCUGGAUGCAGCCCACCAUCCGCGGACCGAUGCCGGUACCACCCCAAGCCCUCCCUGUCCCCACUGCCACCUACCUGGCGCCUCAGGCCUCUGUCUGGCCUGGGGUACCAGGUGUCUGGGGACAGGCAGCGCAGCUCCCCCCUGGGGGGCUGCCCCCAACUGGGGCUCAACUGCCACCUGGGGGCCUGCCCCCAACUCUGGGGCUGCACUUACCGCUGCUGCAGCUGCUACCUGGGGGGCUGCACCCAGCUAGGGCUC
This 739-nucleotide long non-coding RNA is filed under the name Gallus gallus (chicken). RNAcentral's name for it is "lncRNA (ENSGALG00010028967.1)". The record is from RNAcentral. Lineage: Eukaryota; Metazoa; Chordata; Aves; Galliformes; Phasianidae.